Molecule: transfer RNA, 65 nt
Filed under: Ranacris albicornis
Lineage: Eukaryota; Metazoa; Arthropoda; Insecta; Orthoptera; Acrididae
Description: tRNA-Ala
Source: RNAcentral
AGGGUUGUAGUUAAAUAUAACAUUUGGGUUGCAUUCAAAAAGUAUUGAAUAAUCAAUCAACCUUA